UGUAUUUCUUCUGUGAUCCUACAUCAAACAUGUAGGGGGACAAGAAUUUUUUGAAGGGGUUUGUUCCAAAGGAUAACUGCUGGAAUUCUUACCAACAUGACCUUCUGAACUUCAAUGGAUCCCUAUACAAUGAUCAAUCACAAACCCAGAAUUUAUAGAAACCCAGUGUGAGAUGUUCCUGGAUCACAGCUAAAAGAACAGAUUGAGGUAAUUCCAACUGAGAGGAGUAGGCUACUUCACCUUUGCCUUGUUUUGUAUCUUGCCCCAGGAAGAUUCAUGUCAUCAAGAGUGCUGUGGCCAGCUCACAGCAUGGAGCUGAGAACGGGAGCACCGAUAAAGCACCGAGCCCAGGCGAGUUACAAAGCACUGCUGGAAGUUGAAGACAUU
Molecule: long non-coding RNA, 387 nt
Organism: Oxyura jamaicensis (ruddy duck)
Lineage: Eukaryota; Metazoa; Chordata; Aves; Anseriformes; Anatidae
Exons: 3
Source: RefSeq, a predicted model, not a curated record